AGUGAACGCUGGCGGUAGGCCUAACACAUGCAAGUCGAACGGCAGCACAGUAAGAGCUUGCUCUUACGGGUGGCGAGUGGCGGACGGGUGGGGAAUACAUCGGAAUCUACUUUUUCGUGGGGGAUAGCGUAGGGAAACUUACGCUAAUACCGCAUACGACCUACGGGUGAAAGCAGGGGAUCUUCGGACCUUGCGCGAUUGAAUGAGCCGAUGUCGGAUUAGCUAGUUGGCGGGGUAAAGGCCCACCAAGGCGACGAUCCGUAGCUGGUCUGAGAGGAUGAUCAGCCACACUGGAACUGAGACACGGUCCAGACUCCUACGGGAGGCAGCAGUGGGGAAUAUUGGACAAUGGGCGCAAGCCUGAUCCAGCCAUACCGCGUGGGUGAAGAAGGCCUUCGGGUUGUAAAGCCCUUUUGUUGGGAAAGAAAAGCAGCAGGUUAAUACCCCGCUGUUCUGACGGUACCCAAAGAAUAAGCACCGGCUAACUUCGU
RNAcentral lists this ribosomal RNA (491 nucleotides) under uncultured bacterium. RNAcentral describes it as "partial 16S ribosomal RNA". It matches the Rfam family "Bacterial small subunit ribosomal RNA", at positions 29 to 506 of the family's 1533-position model. The record is from RNAcentral.